Plodia interpunctella (Indianmeal moth) is the source of this 1762-nucleotide long non-coding RNA. RefSeq lists it as uncharacterized. Lineage: Eukaryota; Metazoa; Arthropoda; Insecta; Lepidoptera; Pyralidae. The transcript is spliced from 4 exons. The record is from RefSeq and is a predicted model, not a curated record.
GUCAAGCAUAAACAAUUUAUUUUUAUCAAAUUCUUCUAAGUAUCAAACACAUCGCCCGCCGCGAAAUUUUACCUUAGCGAUAUUUUCUGAAAAAAUGAUGAUUCUUCAAUACUUUUACCAUUCCCAACCAAUUAGUUAUAAAAUGUGGUUGAAAAUUAUAUUCCUUGUAAUUAUUUUUAAAUAAAGUUUCUCCGGAAACUUGAAGGGAACAGAAUGUGACCAUAAUGGAGGGCAAUGUCAAUCUUUCUACUCACACAGAGGAUGUGAAUUAGGACGGAUGAAGUAUGCCUGUUAUGGUAUCGGAUCUUUCUGCUGCAGAAGUUUAGUUAAUAAUAAAAAUAAAUCAAAAAGAGGGAAAAAGAAAAGAAAAUACUACAGAGGAAUCCAUUAAUUUGAUUGCAACGUUUCACCAGUUAUAAUAAAACUAGAUGCCACGAAUAAAACAAUUUAAAUAAAUAAAUAAAUUUAUUAGGACAAAUCACACAGAUUGAGCGAGCCUCAAUGUAAGUUCGAGACUUGUGUUAUGGGAUACUAACUCAUCGAUACUAUAUUUUAUAACAAAUACAUAUAUAGAUAAACACCCUAGACCUGGGCCAAUCAGAAAAAGAUCAUUUUCCUUCAUGACCCGACCGAAGAUCGAACCCGGGGCCUCUCGGUUCUGUGGCAAGAACUUUACCACUGCGCCACCGAGGUCGUCAACAAAUUUAAUAAGAUAUUGUUUAUUAAAAUUUUCCUUCAGAAUCAAGAUAACAGGAAAAUCAUGUGAUUUAUCUACUGUCAAACUUUAAAUUAGUUUUGUGAUAAAAACGAAAUUUUUAUGUUAAUAACCGGCCAAGUGUGUGUUGGGCCCGCGGAAUUAGUAGGAGGUACUACGGAGUACCUACUAAUUUACGCCACGUUGGGCCACGCACAGUAUAGGGUUAUUGACUAAUGGUAACUUGAAUAAAAUCUGACAGACCAGAAUUAGCACUAACACAUCCGAAAUGAAUGAAACGGCGAAGCCCAAGCAAAACGCAGCGGGACUCAGCUCUAACUACGCAAAGUGACAAUGUGUCAUGGCUCUUGUACGUUUUCCGUCAACGGACGUCAAAACAACGCAGAAUAACGAGUAUACGGGGCCAUGCGUAUUAAAAUCCCCGUGUUGUCAACAUCACGCCAAUUAUUUAAGUAAAUUUCUUUUGGCACUUGUAAAAAGUCCACGGCAAUCUAACAACCUAACUUGACUAUACAUAUAUUAAAAGCAAAUUAUGUUAAGUUAAUUUUUAAAUGUCAUCAAAUUCGUCACACGAGCACACCUAAUUACAUUGGCAAUAAAAGCUGUGGUGUGUAUUAACGAUUUUAUUUACUUCUCUCAUUAGUUUUAAACAUGUCAUUUGUUGUUUCCAAGUUUGUUUUCGUUAUUUUCCUUGCAAUAUUUGGGUUCGCCCUGGGAGAUAUAAGAAACCUUUGUAUUGAGCGGGGAGGAGAGUGUAUACCUAGUGGUUUUCCCUGCAAUUCACGUGUUUUUUUGAAAUACUCUUGCAGUCCAGAUAUUGGAAGUUAUUGUUGCAAGCGUUCUUUACCUACAACUUAUUUGCGACACACCGAGUGCGAGUCAAAGAAUGGAGUGUGUGAACCAUUUUACUGGGGUUCUAUUUGCCGAUCCCUAAUAAAUUUGAACUACGAGUGUGGACCGGGAGCGCAAUGCUGCAAAAACCCUGUUUUGUUACAAAAUGACAGAAUAUCUGUAGGCAGAUAAACCUAAUACAUCUAUGUUAGUAAA